Molecule: long non-coding RNA, 1148 nt
Organism: Pseudopipra pipra
Lineage: Eukaryota; Metazoa; Chordata; Aves; Passeriformes; Pipridae
Exons: 2
Source: RefSeq, a predicted model, not a curated record
GAGGAGCGAUCCCUCGCUGGAAAGGAUGGUCGUUCAGGCAGGUCUGGCAGAGUGGAGGCUCAAGCUCUGAAUCUCCUGGAGCUCCCUGGUUAGGACUCAGUGUACUACAGCAGGAUGGACACUGGUUAUGAGCAUAAUACACAGUGCUCGCAGAGCACUGUGUCAGCCUUGUACACUUUGCUUCUGUGACUGUCUCUUUUCCACCAUGUGAAUCAGAAGUAUUGGAUUUUCUAACAAGUCAAGCGAGGACUCAGAGACCUUUCUGAGCUCUUUUCCUAAGUUAUUUUCCAUUGUGAAAGCAAAAGGACCUCUAUGUAAGUUGUGGUAUAUUUGCACUGAAUCUGAUCAGAACUGUCUCAUUUGAAUGCAAAGGACAGAUAGGGGUGUCUCAGGAUACACUCUACCAGCCUGGAGGGGGAAGGUUGAGACAGCCAUGGCUGGCAGCCCAACUGGCCUCCUAUUGACAGGAGACAACCUCUUUGCUUUGUGAGCUUCGUGUCCCUGGCUUCAGCAUCACUAUGCUUCAUUAGGAGAUUAUAUUUGCCAUUAGAAGAUGCUUUACAUCAGGAAAACAAAUAUUUUAUGUUACAUUAGUCAUAAGCAUGACGGCGAGUGUUUGAUUAACUGUGGAAGUCUAUAUCUCAGCAACUGGUUACCAGGAUUACGUAUGAUAAACAAACAGAGUGAGAUAUAUCUAACCAGCCUUCUGCUGGUGACUCCUCCAUGAGCGAAACGCCUGCAACUGCCCUACUGUGCUGACCUGCCGGAAAUCUCAAGGUUAGGAAAAUUUCUCUUUCCUCUCUAUGGAAACCAAACAAAUAAAUUUCCUUCUGUGGGCAAAUGAGCCACUUCCCACUGCAUUCCCCAUUUGCAUUUUUUAGCAACAUCAGUUUGUGUGGAUAAUAUUAUGCCCUACUUCCGUGCUCUGGAGCAUCCCUACAAGACUAUCCAGACUGUUUUAGCUUCAGGUUGGUGGGUCGAAGUUGUAGCAGGAGGGAUUAUUUCUUUUUCAGAUUCCAUUUCAAUAAAUAUGUAUUGAAACUGAUCUUUUGAUUCAAGCAGAUUUUAAAAACAUUUAUUUUUGCCAAUCAUAAUUGCCUCUAUGAUUGUUAAGCACAUCAUUAAAUAUAUUAUUCUCCCCAAGUAAA